GCAGUUCAAAGGACAGAAAGUCCAGAUGGUCUGUGAACAAGUAGGAAGAUGCUCAUUCUCACCGGGAAGCAUAAAAGUGCACAAUCAGACAAGGAUGGCAUCAUGUGACUGUUCUGGGCAAGCUAACAAUAUUAGAGCUGAUAAUCCAGCAGUAACAGGAUGCGGCAGACAGGGACUUCCACACGACGCCCGGAGAGUAGCUGGCAGCCACUUGUGAGUGACUCAGCAAUAUUUAGUAGAAUUGAAAAUACAGUUUAAAGAAGAUCAGAGCAAUACACGUAACUGACCAAGGAUUUGUACCACCGAUACAUAAAGAGCUCUUCAGCGGUGCCUGCAGAGCCAUCUGAUGGCUGGAUUGCAGCUGUUUUCAGAUCCCACAAGAAGCCUAAAGCCGCCAGAAAGAAAACCGAGGAAUCCUUCUGUCUCCAGCUGGACGAUUCUUCAGAUGGCUGCCUUCUCGUAUCCUCGGAUCGGGGAGAGAGAAGCAAGCUCUCUCAUGUCUUCUUAUAUGGACACUAAUCCCAUCACGGGGGCUCCACUCUCAUGACCUAAUCACCUGCCUGAGGCCCCACUUCCUAAUCUCAUCACACAGGGAUGGAGCCUUCAACUUACAAAUUUUGGGGGGCACACAAACAUUCAGUCCUUGGAAGGCCUGUUGACUUCCUGUGUCUAAGCCUCGGUUUCCUCGUCUGUAACACGGCGGCAAUAUGAGCAUCCGCCUCACAGGACAGUAGUGAGGAUUAAAUGGGCUGAGCUCUGCAGCUUGCAGCUCAUGGCCCUCACUCAGGAACAGCUGGUGCCCUCUGAUGGCUAGCAUUAUACUUUUACCCCCGAUAUUUACCAGGGAGGAGGAAAAUCAAGCACAGUAAGUGCUUUAUCUAUGACCUUUCCCUCAACCUGAAGGUCAAACUCCAGGGCUUCUUGAAAAUAAGAAGAUGAUCAACAGAGAAUCAGCAGUGACAAAUACUUGUCAUGCCACAGAUUUAAAAAUCGAGGCUCAGAGAGUGACUUGCCAAAAGCCACACAGCAUGAGAUGGAGAGCAACUGGAGUCCUUCUGGUUGUGACACAUGGGACGCUAGCUCAGCGGUGCCAUGUCUGCGCCCAGGAACCAAACCCACGAAACCCUGGGCUGCCAAAGCAGAGCGUGCGAACUUAACCACUCGGCCAUGGGGCCAGCCCCACGUUAGAUCUCUUAAGCUGCACGCUGUCUCACUCCAAAAGCCACUCGCCCUCUGCACCCAACCCCACAUCCGUGCAUGACCAGCCAGGGCCAUGAAGCUCAUGUGACUCCCAGGAGAACCUGAGGUUCCGGAGAGCCAUGCCCUUACUCCUGUGGAUUGGCACGAACUCAGCCAGGAGCUCUGGGGACACCCUUGAGUGGAAGUAGUCUUGGCAUUGGCCCAUUGGAUGCCUGACUUCUUGGUUUUUCAUGCGAGGGAAGUGACUUGGAGAAAUGGUAGAUAUUACAGAAGAGACCACAGACUUUGGGGUCAGAAAGACCUGGCCUUCAGUGCUGGCUGGGUCACCAGUGGCUGUGUGACCUUGGGCAAGCGGCUUAACCUCUCUGAAUCUCAGUCUGCUCAUGAAAAAUGGGACUAACUAUGCCUACCAUAUCUGCUCUCCUGGACUGCCUGGGAGAUUGAAAUGAAACAAUAGGCGACAAAUCACUUCGCAGACUGCAAGGGGCCAUGAUGGGGAUGCUAGGGUUUCUGGUGAGUCCUGAAGUCUCAGGGGAUGGUCCCUCAGGAGGCUGGCUCUGAGGUAGUGCUGAGGCUGAGAGCAACUGAGCUUUCUCAGGUGUCACAGGGGCGCCAUCAACCAAGGACUGCAAAGAGUCCCUGAAACGUUGCAGGACGACACGUUUUAGUCAUCGUUCAGAAAGUGUUGCAAAUGGGUCAUUUUUAACUUAUUCACGCUCAUUGUUGUUGGGGUGACCAACACUGAGGGGCUUCCUGGGACACAGGCCUUUCUGUUUUAAAACCAGGACAGUCCCAGGACCUCCAGGACAAGGUGGUCUCCCUGGUUAUCGUUGUUCUUCUUCUUAUUGCUGUCAACCCUGACGUUCAGAGUCUGAGUCCACUUUGUGUCUCCCUCUGUGGCCCUCCUCAGCCCAUGCCGUCGCCUCCUGGCACCAGCAGUGUUCACUGUUUAUCAGCCCUGCACGUUUCGGUGGCGGCUUUACAGCCAGCGCCUCCUUCGACCCUCACCCUGUCCUCCUGCCACACGCAUUCCAGUUCCUGGGGGCUCUGCGGAUCCGAGGUGGAGAAUGCAUCUCUUCCCGCCCUCCCUCCCCCUGCAGGUGCCCUUGAGGGGUCCGCGACCUCUCUGUCCUCCCGGCUCCUGGAGGCACUCUGAUCCCCAAGCUGUUUCUGGGAAACGGAGCAUUUGGUCCCAGCAACAGACAACAACCACAGGCAGAGGAAAACUCUUGGGGAAAGAGAAACAUCUAAGACCCGUCUCCUCUUUCCACAAUGACAGCCUGAUGGAGGCCCAACCGUGACUCCCUUCCACCAGGCAAGUCCCCAGCACGGCCUCGGAGGCGGGGUCCACCCAGGGCCCCUACCUGCAGCCUGAGGAGCAGCAUCGCUUUAUCAGUCUGAGCGCAGAGCCCAGUGCAGCUUCACUUGGUGUAAGCAGUUAAAGCAUGAGGAUGCCCAACUUUCAGCGUUCCAAGCCCCGGCAGGGCAUGAAUUAAACAGUUGCUUUCUUGCUCUGUUUUGCUCAUUAAUUCA
Molecule: long non-coding RNA, 2733 nt
Organism: Equus caballus (horse)
Lineage: Eukaryota; Metazoa; Chordata; Mammalia; Perissodactyla; Equidae
Source: Ensembl